AAAAAUAUAUUUAUAUUUAAGAAAAUAAGAUUAUGUAUUUUUUUAAUAAAAAAUGAGAAAAAAUAUUUACUUGUCACAUGAGAAAUACGGUUACGCCACCUAAUGGUAGAACUUGUUUCUGGUCUACUUUAGGAUCGGUAGAAAGAAACUGUAUACCGGGAAUUCUGGAAAAUCACGGGGCUUUGCAGACUGGUCCAUAUGUAUGAGUCACUAUACAAAUUUUAACAAGUUUUCCUAUAUUGUGGCCACUAACAAGUACAUAUACUAUCGAUUCUUCUAAUUUUAGGCCAUAAAAUCACUUCUAAUAUAUCACAAUGGAUGAAACGAAUGAACAACAAUACACAGGAGAUGGUUCAGUUGAUCAUAAACAUAGGCCUGCUCUUAAGGCCAAUACUGGCAAAUGGAAAGCUUGUCCAUUUAUUCUAGGCAAUGAAUGUUGUGAACGUUUGGCUUUUUUCGGUAUUGCAACAAACCUUGUUACCUAUCUUACCACCAAACUACACGAAAAUAACACGUCUGCUGCGAGAAAUGUCAGCAUCUGGCAAGGAACUUGUUAUCUUACACCUCUCAUUGCAGCUAUUCUGGCCGAUGGUUACUUGGGAAGAUACUGGACAAUCGCUGUUUUCUCCAUGAUUUACUUUGUUGGGAUGAGUAUUUUGACUCUUUCGGUAUCUGUUCCACCAUUGAAGCCAGCUGAGUGUUUGGGUUCACUAUGUCCUCCGGCGGCUCCUAUGCAAUAUUUUGUGUUCUACUUGGGCCUCUACAUAAUUGCGUUAGGGACUGGUGGUGUAAAAGCGUGUGUGCUAUCUUUUGGGGCAGAUCAGUUUGAUGAUACUGAUUCCAAGGAAAGUGCCAAGAAGGCUUCCUAUUUCAAUUGGUAUUACUUUUCUAUCUACCUAGGUGCCAUUGUAUCAUGCAGCCUCAUUGUGUGGAUUCAAGAUAAUGCAGGAUGGGGCCUUGGAUUUGGAAUUCCUGCUUUAUUUAUGGGAUUAUCUGUUGGAAGUUUCAUUUUAGGCACCCCUCUCUAUAGGUUUCAGAAACCAAAGGGUAGCCCUAUUACAAGAUUGUGCCAGGUUGUGUUAGCAUCUGUCCGGAAGCAGAAUCUGGUCGUGCCUGAGGAUAGUAGUCUCCUGUAUGAGACGCCUGACCAGAAAUCUGGAGUUGAAAAAAGUCGCAAACUGAAGCAUCAUGAUGAUCUCAGGUUUUUUGAUAGAGCAGCUGUAGUAUCUGAUUCGGAGAAAAGAAGCGGUGACUAUUCUAAUCCAUGGAGGCUUUGCACCGUGACACAGGUGGAGGAAUUGAAAAUCUUGAUUCGCAUGUUUCCAAUUUGGGCUACUGGCAUCAUUUAUUCUUCUGUCUACGCCCAGAUGUCAACAUUGUUUGUGGAGCAAGGAACUAUGAUGAAUACAAGGAUUGGUUCCUUCAAAUUAUCCCCAGCUUCCCUCUCAACCUUUGAGGUGGGAAGUGUUGUUUUGUGGGUCCUCGUCUACGACAGGAUAUUUGUUCCUAUUGCAAAGAAAUUUACAGGCAAGAAAAGAGGCAUUUCUGUGUUUCAAAGAAUAGGAACUGGCCUUUUUAUUUCUGGGCUUUGCAUGUUAGCAGCUGCUGUUGUGGAGAUUAAGCGUCUGCAGCUUGCAAGAGAGCUUGACCUUGUUGAUAAACCUGUCGCUGUACCCCUUAGCGUGUUAUGGCAAAUCCCUCAGUAUUUAAUAUUAGCAGCAGCAGAAAUAUUCCAAUUUGUUGGGCAGCUUGAGUUCUUCUACGAAGAAUCACCAGAUGCUAUGCGAACUUUAUGUGGUGCACUGCCGCUCCUUAAUUUUUCAUUGGGGAGUUACUUGAGCUCUUUCAUUCUCACUAUAGUAACUUACUUCACAACACGAGGGGGAAGGCUUGGAUGGAUUCCAGAUAACUUGAACAAAGGACAUCUUGAUUAUUAUUUUCUGCUUUUAUUUGGACUUAGCUUAUUGAAUCUGUUUGUGUUCAUAGUUUCAGCGAAGAUAUACAAACCAAAGAAGGCUUCUUAAGAUUUUUCAAAAUUUUUGUUGCUCUUAGGACUGGAAGCAUUUUAUGAGAUUUCCUUCUUUCAUUGUAGACUGGAAGCAUUUUGUUCCUCUUAGGACGAAAAUGUGGAAUUCUGGAAAGUCAUGGGGCUCUGUCUGUAUUCAUAUAGACUGCAUUAUAUGGUCCAUAUGAAUAUGAAUACAUAGAAAUUCAGUAGAAGUUGGUUGUGGCUCAAAGCAAGAGUUGGACAUUCAUUUAUCCCUUUCUAUGAGUGGUGAUCAUAUAUUGGUAUGUAUGUCAUUUUAAUUUAAUGGCUAAAUUACCUAUAUAGUCCCUUUAAUUGAUUUGUGUUUUUAGUCCGUACAAAUAAACCAUUUUUGUUUUUUUAUUGUAUUUGUUUUGUUUAAAUCCUUGCAAAAUUUUAUCAUAUUACAAUUGUAAUAAGUAGAAUAUUGCAUUUGGCCAAAAAAAUUCAACAUUUUUACUCGUCGAGCUAGAACUUUUGAAAAAAAAAAACCAAAGUAGGGGGUGCUAAAAUAAAAAAAUUGAUUAUUAAAAGAUUUUUUUAGAGGUUAAAGUGAUUGUUUUUGGUGGCCUUACCCAUUGACAUCUUACCGUAACAAAUAAAAA
Molecule: RNA transcript, 2631 nt
Organism: Medicago truncatula (barrel medic)
Lineage: Eukaryota; Viridiplantae; Streptophyta; Magnoliopsida; Fabales; Fabaceae
Gene name: protein NRT1/ PTR FAMILY 8.3
Exons: 6
Source: RefSeq, a predicted model, not a curated record